RNAcentral lists this ribosomal RNA (370 nucleotides) under uncultured organism. RNAcentral describes it as "bacterial SSU rRNA". It matches the Rfam family "Bacterial small subunit ribosomal RNA", at positions 526 to 896 of the family's 1533-position model. The record is from RNAcentral.
CGUAGGGUGCAAGCGUUAAUCGGAAUUACUGGGCGUAAAGCGUGCGCAGGCGGUUGUGCAAGACCGAUGUGAAAGCCCCGGGCCUAACCUGGGAAUGGCAUUGGUGACUGCACGGCUAGAGUGUGUCAGAGGGGGGUAGAAUUCCACGUGUAGCAGUGAAAUGCGUAGAGAUGUGGAGGAAUACCGAUGGCGAAGGCAGCCCCCUGGGAUAACACUGACGCUCAUGCACGAAAGCGUGGGGAGCAAACAGGAUUAGAUACCCUGGUAGUCCACGCCCUAAACGAUGUCAACUAGUUGUCGGGUCUUAAUUGACUUGGUAACGCAGCUAACGCGUGAAGUUGACCGCCUGGGGAGUACGGUCGCAAGAUUA